AGUAUUGAAAUGAUUUUCUUUUGCACAAAAAAAAAGCAGAGAACUCUACUGAAAUGUGAAGAAGUGUAUUCAAAUUCUUUACAUGACCCAACACAGUGGCUCAUGCCUAUAAUCCCAGCACUUUGGGAGGCCGAGGCAGGCAGAUAACCUGAGGUCAGGAGUUGGAGACCAGUCUGGCCAACAUAGUGAAAUCCCAUCUCUACUAAAAAUACAAAAAUUAGUCAGGUGUGGUGGCAGGUAUCUGUAAUCCCAGCCACUCAGGAGGCUGAGGCAGGAGAAUCAAUUGAACCUGGGAGGUGGAGUUUGCAGUGAGCUGAGAUCACACCACUGCACUACAGCCUGGGCAACAGAGGGAGACUCUGUCUCAAAAAAACAAAAACAGAAACAAAUUAUUUACAUGUGUGAGCAAAUAUAUAUAUCCAUAUAUAUCUCCAAUUCUUUGUCUAAGGAGUUGACUAAAAUUCAAUAAAAGGGAAAUUCUUUCCUUUCUAACUUUUGCCCUUUCCCAUAGCAUGAACAUUUUAAUUUGGAUCAGUCAGGGAAGUUAAAACUAUAAAAAUCAAUACUGUGUUCACUUUCCACAUGGAUUCCUCUAAAAUUUUUUUACGUGUGACUAAAAUACACAUAACAUAAAAUUAGUAUUGUAACCAUUUUUAAGUAUACAGUUCAGUAGUGUUAAGUAUAUUCACGUUGUUAUGCAACAGAUCUCUGGAACCUUUUCAUCUCACAAAACUGAAACUCUACACCCAUCAGACAACAGCUCACCCCUUCCCUCUCCCCGCUGCCCCUGGCAACCAUCAUUCUAUUUUCUGUCUCUAUGAAUUUGACUGCUUUAGAUACUUCAUAUAAGUGGUCAUUUUUUAAAUUAAACAUUAAACAGAAUCUCUAGCAGUGCAGAAAAUUGUUAUGUAUUGACCAUUCGCCACUGUGUACACACACAGAGUGCUUUGGCCAAUUUUUUUUUUUUACCAACUUCUCAUUUGCUAAUGACUUAAGAGUACUAACUUUCCCUGAAGGAAAACUACUCAAUUUUAGUCAAAUAUUUGACAAGCAAUUAAAAGUUGUAUGACAGAGGCCUAUCUGCUUCCAUCAAUGAAGGGAAGGUUACUUUAAGAAGCACCUGCUAUGGUUUCAGGUUUCUGGUUGACAAGUCUUGGCUGGAGUGGGCCUCCCCCUCUAUGGGGUGAAUGUGGGAGGAGAUUGUCCAGUGUGAAAAGGCCAUGACACUCACUCAUGGUUAGAUCUCGCUUCACUGUCUAAGAUUUCUUUAGGAUUCUUGCAAGAAACAAGUCAGCAGGUUAAAAGCAACUUGAAUAUCACGAAGGCAAGAUCACAGCGACGUCCUGUCCUGGUUCCCCUCUUCUACCCUGGCCCACACGGCACCAUCUUUCCCAUUGCUGCCCUCCCAGUGGCCCUCCCCUCUCACAAGGUGCUGCCCCGCUCCCCACUUGCCCAGCCUUCCCUCCUGCUUCAUCAUGCUACCCCAUUUCAUAGAUCUGUGUCCCCAGGCCACAGAUGCCUUUAGCAAAACAUUUUCUCCACCCUUAUUCCUUUUUUUCGUGACGUGACAGGUAUGUAAGAUGGUGACGGGGCAUUAAAAUGUCUUUGCAAAGUGUCCUUUUCCCUCUCCACUCUUGCUCUUCCUUUUUGCUCCUGCCCUGGCCUGGCCUGGGCUGGUUUCCAGGGAUCUCUGCUUACCAGCAAGCCAGUCACCUACGUGUUAUCCACAUCUACCAAAGGCCUGGUAACAGCAGCCCAGGCCCAGAAAAGUAUAAAAAAAAAAAAAAA
This is a long non-coding RNA of Macaca fascicularis (crab-eating macaque), 1788 nucleotides long. Lineage: Eukaryota; Metazoa; Chordata; Mammalia; Primates; Cercopithecidae. The record is from Ensembl.